RNAcentral lists this ribosomal RNA (355 nucleotides) under Paenirhizobium daejeonense. RNAcentral's name for it is "Rhizobium daejeonense partial 16S ribosomal RNA". It matches the Rfam family "Bacterial small subunit ribosomal RNA", at positions 998 to 1352 of the family's 1533-position model. The record is from RNAcentral. Lineage: Bacteria; Pseudomonadati; Pseudomonadota; Alphaproteobacteria; Hyphomicrobiales; Rhizobiaceae.
CAGUGGAGACAUUGUCCUUCANUUCGUCUGGACCCAAGACAGGUGNUGCAUGGCNGUCGUCAGCUCNUCUCGUGAGAUGUUGGGUUAAGUCCNNCAACGAGCGCAACCCUCGCCCUUAGUUGCCAGCAUUCAGUUGGGCACUCUAAGGGGACUNCCGGUGAUAAGCCGAGAGGAAGGUGGGGAUGACGUCAAGUCNUCAUGGCCCUUACGGGCUGGGCUACACACGUGCUACAAUGGUGGUGACAGUGGGCAGCGAGACCGCGAGGUCGAGCUAAUCUCCAAAAGCCAUCUCAGUUCGGAUUGCACUCUGCAACUCGAGUGCAUGAAGUUGGAAUCGCUAGUAAUCGCGGAUCAG